Molecule: long non-coding RNA, 1775 nt
Organism: Hirundo rustica (Barn swallow)
Lineage: Eukaryota; Metazoa; Chordata; Aves; Passeriformes; Hirundinidae
Exons: 2
Source: RefSeq, a predicted model, not a curated record
ACAUAGAUCAAAUGCUGGUGGUCAAAAUUAGACCUAGAAGGCAAUGAGGAUUUUAUUAACAGUAUCUCUGCUUGCAUUUUAAGAUUUGAUGUUGAGUAGAUUUUAUUUUGCAGGUGAUGGGGAAAGUGCCAACCAUUUCUAUCAACAAAACAGAAGGCUGCCACAUCUACCUCAGUGAGGAGUCAUUGGAUUGUGAGAUUGUGAGUGCCAAGUCAUCCGAGAUGAACAUUCUCAUCCCCCAAGAUGGUGACUAUAAAGAAUUUCCGGUUCCUGAACAGUUCAAGACAGCAUGGGAUGGAUCUAAGUUGGUCACUGAACCUGCAGAGAUUGUGGGUUGACUUCCUCACGCCAUAGAGCACUUGCUGACCACGGCCAGACUGCGGCCAGCACGCACAAAGCAGUAAUGUAAAGAACUAGGAGUAGCAGGAGUUCAUGCUGCUGUCAUAGGCCUUCAAGCAUUAGCUCUGCAUGCUAGGAACAAUAACACAUCUGGCACCCUUUUGUUAGGCAUCCCGGUCCCGGUCAUGUCUCCACAUAGUUUGCCUUCACAUACAAUUUUAGUUCUGAAUGGGAAUGUAAUAGGUUAAACCCCCACCCUCCAGUCACAUCAUUGGUUUGAAAUACUGUAUACAUUAAGCCGACUGCACGAUACACUUUUUUUAUCAUCUUGCUUCAGUGCAUUCCUUUUUGUGUUUCUGCUAAUCAAAAACAGCAUUAAGACUUUGGGGUGUUUCUUUUUACCUAUGAAGCAAUUCCUGUAUGAUGCAGUAAAAAUGUACCUGUAGAAAGUACGCAAUUUCUUGCAGUUCUGUGGUAAUCAUAAUGUGUUCCGUUUCAAACAAGCAAAAAAGGACAACUUUCAGCAUAGCAAUACAUUUUGCUAACUGAAUUUUUUUAAAAAGUCUGGUAAUUUAAUCAAAAACAUUUCUAAUCUGCAUAUUUAGAAGAUCUCAGUUUUCUGUGAAGAUUUAUUAUGGUUCAUAGACUUGCUGUUGCCCUCUCAUUUCUUGCAAAUUAGUAAUUCUUUCUAAGCUUGGGCCUCAUCAAUGCUAAAACCUUGCAGGAAAUUACUUGAAGGUUUUUGCACCUUGGAUUUUUUUUCAUGACACCAUCUCUCACUUUUUAAAAUUUCACAUUUUUAUCUUGCGUCUUAUACAGAAAACCAAGGAGGACAGACACAUCUGAUUACCAGCUAGUUUUCCUUACUACUAAAGUUCCUUUAAAGUAUUUGUAUUGUAGCUCAUCACGUUCAUUAAAAGUAUCAUCCUGGAUGUUUUUUCCCCACAUUUGUAGGACUAUCAAAUACAUCCACAAAGCAAAGCCAUAGAUUUAUGCCAUACUAAUUCUGAGCCCAAAUAAAGGGGUCAUUUCCUGUUUAGCCCUUUGACUCUACCUUACGAUCCCUACGCUUUUUUAAAGAAAGGUAGAGCAUUGUAUACAUUUGUACUAUUUCAGCACAUAGUACGAAAAACACUUAAAAGAUUUUAAAAGUCACCUUGUGUUUUGAUCACUUGUAAUACUUUGUAUCUGUGAAAUCACAGUGAGAUGCUUGCAGAGCUAGUUACAAGCUAAAUUUUGUGCCUAACUUACCUUGAAAGUACAUUAACUCUUAAGGGUUUUUAAGUAUAUCUUUGAUUGUAAACCCUAUACAAUACAACCAGUAGUGCUCAUUCCUUACAGUUUUGCUAUCUAAUGUUUAACCUAUGUGUAUAAUGUGUUUGCUUUAAUAUAUAUCAUUUUUUCAACAGUAAACUUCUUACAAAAUAAAAAGGAAA